UUGGAGGGCAAGUCUGGUGCCAGCAGCCGCGGUAAUUCCAGCUCCAAUAGCGUAUAUUAAAGUUGCUGCAGUUAAAAAGCUCGUAGUUGAAUUUCGGGACCAUCAUGUCGGUCGUGCCUCGGUACGUACUGGUAUUGUUGGUUUCUCCCUUUUGACGAACCAUGAUGUCAUUUAUUUGGUGUUGUGGGGAAUCAGGACUGUUACUUUGAAAAAAUUAGAGUGUUUAAAGCAGGCUCACGCUUGAAUACAUUAGCAUGGAAUAAUGAAAUAGGACGUCUGAUUCUAUUUUGUUGGUUUCUAGGAUCGACGUAAUGAUUAAUAGGGAUAGUUGGGGGCAUUAGUAUUCAAUUGUCAGAGGUGAAAUUCUUGGAUUUAUUGAAGACUAACUACUGCGAAAGCAUUUGCCAAGGAUGUUUUCAUUAAUCAAGAACGAAAGUUAGGGGAUCGAAGACGAUCAGAUACCGUCGUAGUCUUAACCAUAAACUAUGCCGACUAGGGAUCGGAUGAUGUUAAUUUUUUAAUGACUCAUUCGGCGCCUUACGGGAAAC
Molecule: ribosomal RNA, 548 nt
Filed under: uncultured Glomeromycotina
Lineage: Eukaryota; Fungi; Glomeromycota
Description: SSU rRNA
Rfam family: Eukaryotic small subunit ribosomal RNA
Source: RNAcentral